AUUGAACGCUGGCGGCAGGCCUAACACAUGCAAGUCGAGCGAGUGGCGGACGGGUGAGUAAUGCGUGGGGAUCUGGCCGAUAGAGGGGGAAAACUACUGGAAAAGGUAGCUAAUACCGCAUACUAUCGGACGAACCCAUAUGGGAUGAGUUGGUAGGUGGGGUAAAGGCUAACCUGGGCGACGAUCUCUAGCUGGUCUGAGAGGAUGAUCAGCCACACUGGAACUGAGACACGGCCCAGACUCCUACGGGAGGCAGCAGUGGGGAAUAUUGCGCAAUGGGCGCAAGCCUGAUGCGGCCAUGCCGCUUGUAUGAAGAAGUCCUUAGGGUUGUAAAGUACUUUCAGCGGGGAGGCGUUACCCGCAGAAGAAGCACCGGCUAACUCCGUGCCAGCAGCCGCGGUAAUAC
This 406-nucleotide ribosomal RNA is filed under the name uncultured bacterium. RNAcentral describes it as "partial 16S ribosomal RNA". It matches the Rfam family "Bacterial small subunit ribosomal RNA", at positions 30 to 526 of the family's 1533-position model. The record is from RNAcentral.